RNAcentral lists this ribosomal RNA (221 nucleotides) under uncultured bacterium. Its description in RNAcentral is "partial 16S ribosomal RNA". It matches the Rfam family "Bacterial small subunit ribosomal RNA", at positions 1280 to 1500 of the family's 1533-position model. The record is from RNAcentral.
GGAACGUCUCAGUUCGGAUUGUAGUCUGCAACUCGACUACAUGAAGCUGGAAUCGCUAGUAAUCACGAAUCAGAAUGUCGCGGUGAAUACGUUCCCGGGUCUUGUACACACCGCCCGUCACACCAUGGGAGUUGGGAAUGCCCGAAGCCGGUGACCUAACCGAAAGGGAGGAGCCGUCGAAGGCAGGCUUGAUAACUGGGGUGAAGUCGUAACAAGGUAUC